AUUGAACGCUGGCGGAAUGCUUUACACAUGCAAGUCGAACGGCAGCACGGGGCAACCUGGUGGCGAGUGGCGAAACGGGUGAGUAAUACAUCGGAACGUGCCCCAAUCGUGGGGGAUAACGUAGCGAAAGUUACGCUAAUACCGCAUACGAUCUACGGAUGAAAGCGGGGGAUCGCAAGACCUCGCGCGAGUGGAGCGGCCGAUGUUCAGAUUAGGUAGUUGGUGGGGUAAAGGCUCACCAAGCCAACGAUCUGUAGCUGGUCUGAGAGGACGACCAGCCACACUGGAACUGAGACACGGUCCAGACU
RNAcentral lists this ribosomal RNA (308 nucleotides) under uncultured bacterium. RNAcentral describes it as "bacterial SSU rRNA". It matches the Rfam family "Bacterial small subunit ribosomal RNA", at positions 30 to 337 of the family's 1533-position model. The record is from RNAcentral.